This 348-nucleotide unclassified non-coding RNA is filed under the name soil metagenome. RNAcentral's name for it is "partial contains 5.8S ribosomal RNA, internal transcribed spacer 2, and large subunit ribosomal RNA". The stretch from base 1 to 120 matches the Rfam family "5.8S ribosomal RNA", at positions 35 to 154 of the family's 154-position model. The record is from RNAcentral.
GAUGAAGAACGCAGCAAAAUGCGAUAAGUAAUGUGAAUUGCAGAAUUCAGUGAAUCAUCGAAUCUUUGAACGCACAUUGCGCCCGCUGGUAUUCCGGCGGGCAUGCCUGUUCGAGCGUCAUUUCAACCCUCAAGCCCCCGGGUUUGGUGUUGGGGAUCGGCUCUGCCCUUCUGGGCGGUGCCGCCCCCGAAAUACAUUGGCGGUCUCGCUGCAGCCUCCAUUGCGUAGUAGCUAACACCUCGCAACUGGAACGCGGCGCGGCCAUGCCGUAAAACCCCAACUUCUGAAUGUUGACCUCGGAUCAGGUAGGAAUACCCGCUGAACUUAAGCAUGUCAAUAAGCGGAGGA